RNAcentral lists this ribosomal RNA (464 nucleotides) under uncultured bacterium. RNAcentral describes it as "bacterial SSU rRNA". It matches the Rfam family "Bacterial small subunit ribosomal RNA", at positions 69 to 507 of the family's 1533-position model. The record is from RNAcentral.
GAAGAGAUGGGAAGCUUGCUUCUAUUGAUUCGAGUGGCAAACGGGUGAGUAACGCGUAAGCAACCUGCCCUUCAGAUGGGGACAACAGCUGGAAACGGCUGCUAAUACCGAAUACGUCUUUUUGUCGCAUGGCAGAGGGAAGAAAGGGAGGCUCUUCGGAGCUUUCGCUGAAGAUGGGCCUGCGUCUGAUUAGCUAGUUGGUGAGAUAACAGCCCACCAAGGCGACGAUCAGUAGCCGGUCUGAGAGGAUGAACGGCCACAUUGGGACUGAGACACGGCCCAGACUCCUACGGGAGGCAGCAGUGGGGAAUAUUCCGCAAUGGGCGAAAGCCUGACGGAGCAACGCCGCGUGAGUGAAGAAGGUCUUCAGAUCGUAAAGCUCUGUUGAAGGGGACGCACGGCGCCUGCUACAAGAUAGCAGGUGAAUGACGGUACCCUUCGAGGAAGCCACGGCUAACUACGUG